This 495-nucleotide ribosomal RNA is filed under the name uncultured bacterium. RNAcentral's name for it is "partial 16S ribosomal RNA". It matches the Rfam family "Bacterial small subunit ribosomal RNA", at positions 28 to 507 of the family's 1533-position model. The record is from RNAcentral.
GACGAACGCUGGCGGCGUGCCUAAUACAUGCAAGUAGAACGCUGAAGGAGGAGCUUGCUUCUCCGGAUGAGUUGCGAACGGGUGAGUAACGCGUAGGUAACCUGCCUGGUAGCGGGGGAUAACUAUUGGAAACGAUAGCUAAUACCGCAUAAGAGUAGAUGUUGCAUGACAUUUGCUGAAAAGGUGCAAUUGCAUCACUACCAGAUGGACCUGCGUUGUAUUGGCUAGUUGGUGAGGUAACGGCUCACCAAGGCGAGGAUACAUAGCCGAACUGAGAGGGGGAUCGGCCACACUGGGACUGAGACACGGCCCAGACUCCUACGGGAGGCAGCAGUAGGGAAUCUUCGGCAAUGGACGGAAGUCUGACCGAGCAACGCCGCGUGAGUGAAGAAGGUUUUCGGAUCGUAAAGCUCUGUUGUAAGAGAAGAACGAGUGUGAGAGUGGAAAGUUCACACUGUGACGGUAUCUUACCAGAAAGGGACGGCUAACUACGUG